GAUGAACGCUGGCGGCGUGCCUAAUACAUGCAAGUCGAGCGAACAGACGAGGAGCUUGCUCCUCUGACGUUAGCGGCGGACGGGUGAGUAACACGUGGAUAACCUACCUAUAAGACUGGGAUAACUUCGGGAAACCGGAGCUAAUACCGGAUAAUAUAUUGCACCGCAUGGUUCAAUAGUGAAAGACGGUUUUGCUGUCACUUAUAGAUGGAUCCGCGCCGCAUUAGCUAGUUGUUAAGGUAACGGCUUACCAAGGCAACGAUGCGUAGCCGACCUGAGAGGGUGAUCGGCCACACUGGAACUGAGACACGGUCCAGACUCCUACGGGAGGCAGCAGUAGGGAAUCUUCCGCAAUGGGCGAAAGCUUGACGGAGCAAGGCCGCGUGAGUGAUGAAGGUCUUCGGAUCGUAAAACUCUGUUAUUAGGGAAGAACAAAUGUGUAAGUAACUAUGCACGUCUUGACGGUACCUAAUCAGAAAGCCACGGCUAACUACGUG
This 497-nucleotide ribosomal RNA is filed under the name uncultured bacterium. Its description in RNAcentral is "partial 16S ribosomal RNA". It matches the Rfam family "Bacterial small subunit ribosomal RNA", at positions 28 to 507 of the family's 1533-position model. The record is from RNAcentral.